Molecule: ribosomal RNA, 292 nt
Filed under: uncultured bacterium
Lineage: Bacteria
Description: partial 16S ribosomal RNA
Rfam family: Bacterial small subunit ribosomal RNA
Source: RNAcentral
GUGCCAGCCGCCGCGGUAAUACGGAGGGUGCAAGCGUUAUCCGGAUUCACUGGGUUUAAAGGGUGCGUAGGAGGGCAGGUAAGUCAGUGGUGAAAUCUCCAAGCUUAACUUGGAAACUGCCGUUGAUACUAUCUGUCUUGAAUACCGUGGAGAUGAGCGGAAUAUGUCAUGUAGCGGUGAAAUGCUUAGAUAUGACAUAGAACACCAAUUGCGAAGGCAGCUCGUUACACGAAUAUUGACACUGAUGCACGAAAGCGUGGGGAUCAAACAGGAUUAGAAACCCCUGUAGUCC